GAAACUGGGUAUAAUACCCGAUAGGUCUCGAUUGCUGGAAUGCAUCGAGAUUUAAAGCUCCGGCGCCUAAGGAUGGGUCUGCGGCCUAUCAGGUAGUAGUGGGUGUAGCGUACCUACUAGCCUACGACGGGUACGGGUUGUGAGAGCAAGAGCCCGGAGAUGGAUUCUGAGACACGAAUCCAGGCCCUACGGGGUGCAGCAGGCGCGAAAACUUUACAAUGCUGGCAACAGCGAUAAGGGAACCUCGAGUGCCAGGUUACAAAUCUGGCUGUCGAGAUGCCUAAAAAGCAUUUCAUAGCAAGGGCCGGGCAAGACCGGUGCCAGCCGCCGCGGUAACACCGGCGGCUCGAGUGGUAACCGUUAUUAUUGGGUCUAAAGGGUCUGUAGCCGGCCGGAUAAGUCUCUUGAGAAAUCUGGCAGCUUAACUGUCAGGCUUUCAGGAGAUACUGUCUGGCUCGAGGCCGGGAGAGGUGAGAGGUACUUCAGGGGUAGGGGUGAAAUCUUGUAAUCCUUGAAGGACCACCAGUGGCGAAGGCGUCUCACCAGAACGGACCUGACGGCAAGGGACGAAAGCUAGGGGCACGAACCGGAUUAGAUACCCGGGUAGUCCUAGCCGUAAACGAUACUCGCUAGGUGUCGGCCACGGUGCGACCGUUGUCGGUGCCGUAGGGAAGCCGUGAAGCGAG
RNAcentral lists this ribosomal RNA (686 nucleotides) under uncultured archaeon. RNAcentral describes it as "bacterial SSU rRNA". It matches the Rfam family "Archaeal small subunit ribosomal RNA", at positions 136 to 823 of the family's 1478-position model. The record is from RNAcentral.